CUAGUACUCCCUCCGUCCGGAAGUAGUUGUCAUCAAAAUGGAUGAAAAGAGAUGUAUCUAGAAGUUCUAGAUACAUCUCUUUUCAUCCAUUUUGAUGACAACUAUUUCCGGACGGAGGGAGUAGAUC
Triticum aestivum (bread wheat) is the source of this 127-nucleotide non-coding RNA. NCBI's taxonomy places the organism in Eukaryota, Viridiplantae, Streptophyta, Magnoliopsida, Poales, Poaceae. The record is from Rfam.